RNAcentral lists this ribosomal RNA (397 nucleotides) under uncultured bacterium. RNAcentral describes it as "partial 16S ribosomal RNA". It matches the Rfam family "Bacterial small subunit ribosomal RNA", at positions 523 to 918 of the family's 1533-position model. The record is from RNAcentral.
AUACGUAGGUGACAAGCGUUAUCCGGAUUUACUGGGCGUAAAGGGCGUGUAGGCGGUCUUGCAAGUCAGAAGUGAAAUUCCUGAGCUCAACUCGGGCGCUGCUUCUGAAACUGCAGGACUUGAGUGCUGGAGGGGAUAGCGGAAUUCCUAGUGGAGCGGUAAAAUGCGCAGAUAUUAGGAAGAACACCGGUGGCGAAGGCGGCUAUCUGGACAGUAACUGACGCUGAGGCGCGAAAGCGUGGGGAGCAAACAGGAUUAGAUCCCCUGUUAGUCCACGCCGUAAACGAUGAAUACUAGGUGUAGGGGGUAUCGACUCCCUCUGUGCCGCAGUUAACACAAUAAGUAUUCCGCCUGGGGAGUACGGCCGCAAGGUUGAAACUCAAAUGAAUUGACGGGG